UACGGGGGGAGCAAGCGUUGUUCGGAUUUACUGGGCGUAAAGGGCGCGUAGGCGGUCAGCACAAGUCAGUUGUGAAAUCUCCGGGCUUAACUCGGAAAGGUCAACCGAUACUGUGCGACUAGAGUGCGGAAGGGGCAACUGGAAUUCUCGGUGUAGCGGUGAAAUGCGUAGAUAUCGAGAGGAACACCUGCGGCGAAGGCGGCGUCCUGGACCAACACUGACACUGAUGAGCGAAAGCCAGGGGAGCAAACGGG
RNAcentral lists this ribosomal RNA (254 nucleotides) under uncultured bacterium. RNAcentral's name for it is "partial 16S ribosomal RNA". It matches the Rfam family "Bacterial small subunit ribosomal RNA", at positions 524 to 776 of the family's 1533-position model. The record is from RNAcentral.